RNAcentral lists this ribosomal RNA (253 nucleotides) under uncultured bacterium. RNAcentral describes it as "partial 16S ribosomal RNA". It matches the Rfam family "Bacterial small subunit ribosomal RNA", at positions 524 to 776 of the family's 1533-position model. The record is from RNAcentral.
UACGUAGGGGGCGAGCGUUGUCCGAAGUUACUGGGCGUAAAGCGCACGUAGGCGGAUUUGUAAGUCAGGGGUGAAAUCCCGGGGCUCAACCUCGGAACUGCCUUUGAUACUGCAAAUCUCGAGUCCGGAAGAGGUGAGUGGAAUUCCUAGUGUAGAGGUGAAAUUCGUAGAUAUUAGGAAGAACACCAGUGGCGAAGGCGGCUCACUGGUCCGGUACUGACGCUGAGGUGCGAAAGCGUGGGGAGCAAACAGG